Molecule: ribosomal RNA, 1339 nt
Filed under: Bacillus cereus
Lineage: Bacteria; Bacillati; Bacillota; Bacilli; Caryophanales; Bacillaceae
Description: partial 23S ribosomal RNA
Rfam family: Bacterial large subunit ribosomal RNA
Source: RNAcentral
UCCUUAUGGAGCGAAGUCUUUGAUUCCCCGCUGCCAAGAAAAGCUUCUAGCGAGAUAAAAGGUGCCUGUACCGCAAACCGACACAGGUAGGCGAGGAGAGAAUCCUAAGGUGUGCGAGAGAACUCUGGUUAAGGAACUCGGCAAAAUGACCCCGUAACUUCGGGAGAAGGGGUGCUUUCUUAACGGAAAGCCGCAGUGAAUAGGCCCAAGCGACUGUUUAGCAAAAACACAGCUCUCUGCGAAGCCGUAAGGCGAAGUAUAGGGGGUGACACCUGCCCGGUGCUGGAAGGUUAAGGAGAGGGGUUAGCGUAAGCGAAGCUCUGAACUGAAGCCCCAGUAAACGGCGGCCGUAACUAUAACGGUCCUAAGGUAGCGAAAUUCCUUGUCGGGUAAGUUCCGACCCGCACGAAAGGUGUAACGAUUUGGGCACUGUCUCAACCAGAGACUCGGUGAAAUUAUAGUACCUGUGAAGAUGCAGGUUACCCGCGACAGGACGGAAAGACCCCGUGGAGCUUUACUGUAGCCUGAUAUUGAAUUUUGGUACAGUUUGUACAGGAUAGGCGGGAGCCAUUGAAACCGGAGCGCUAGCUUCGGUGGAGGCGCUGGUGGGAUACCGCCCUGACUGUAUUGAAAUUCUAACCUACGGGUCUUAUCGACCCGGGAGACAGUGUCAGGUGGGCAGUUUGACUGGGGCGGUCGCCUCCUAAAGUGUAACGGAGGCGCCCAAAGGUUCCCUCAGAAUGGUUGGAAAUCAUUCGUAGAGUGCAAAGGCAUAAGGGAGCUUGACUGCGAGACCUACAAGUCGAGCAGGGACGAAAGUCGGGCUUAGUGAUCCGGUGGUUCCGCAUGGAAGGGCCAUCGCUCAACGGAUAAAAGCUACCCCGGGGAUAACAGGCUUAUCUCCCCCAAGAGUCCACAUCGACGGGGAGGUUUGGCACCUCGAUGUCGGCUCAUCGCAUCCUGGGGCUGUAGUCGGUCCCAAGGGUUGGGCUGUUCGCCCAUUAAAGCGGUACGCGAGCUGGGUUCAGAACGUCGUGAGACAGUUCGGUCCCUAUCCGUCGUGGGCGUAGGAAAUUUGAGAGGAGCUGUCCUUAGUACGAGAGGACCGGGAUGGACGCACCGCUGGUGUACCAGUUGUUCUGCCAAGGGCAUAGCUGGGUAGCUAUGUGCGGAAGGGAUAAGUGCUGAAAGCAUCUAAGCAUGAAGCCCCCCUCAAGAUGAGAUUUCCCAUAGCGUAAGCUAGUAAGAUCCCUGAAAGAUGAUCAGGUUGAUAGGUUCGAGGUGGAAGCAUGGUGACAUGUGGAGCUGACGAAUACUAAUAGAUCGAGGACUUAACCAU